Molecule: unclassified non-coding RNA, 254 nt
Filed under: uncultured bacterium
Lineage: Bacteria
Description: contains 16S-23S intergenic spacer region
Rfam family: Bacterial small subunit ribosomal RNA
Source: RNAcentral
GACGUAGGGGGCGAGCGUUGUCCGGAUUAACUGGGCGUAAAGGGCGUGUAGGCGGCUACGUAAGUCCGGCGUGAAAACUCACGGCUCAAUCGUGAACUUGCGUCGGAUACUGCGUUGGCUAGAGGACGGUAGAGGCAGGUGGAACUAGCGGUGUAGCGGUGAAAUGCGCAGAUAUCGCUAGGAACGCCGGUGGCGAAGGCGAUCUGCUGGGCCGUUCCUGACGCUGAGGCGCGAAAGCUAGGGGAGCGAGCCGG